GCCUCUCUGGCGUAAGUGGUCUGCGCGCCUGUCUGAAGAACAGGAGGACGCCGUUCGAUUCGGCGGGGAGGCACCA
Molecule: transfer RNA, 76 nt
Filed under: Pseudothauera rhizosphaerae
Lineage: Bacteria; Pseudomonadati; Pseudomonadota; Betaproteobacteria; Rhodocyclales; Zoogloeaceae
Description: Azoarcus sp. CC-YHH848 tRNA-Phe
Rfam family: tRNA
About the family: Transfer RNA (tRNA) molecules are approximately 80 nucleotides in length.
Source: RNAcentral